This 561-nucleotide ribosomal RNA is filed under the name uncultured eukaryote. Its description in RNAcentral is "bacterial SSU rRNA". It matches the Rfam family "Eukaryotic small subunit ribosomal RNA", at positions 619 to 1150 of the family's 1831-position model. The record is from RNAcentral.
UUAAAAAGCUCGUAGUUUGGAUACGGUGUGCGGGGCGGGAGCGCUGACGGUAGGGGCAGCGCGACUCGAUUCGCCAGACCCCUCGUAAGAUCCGGCCUUUGGUCUCUGCCCUGCGCUUUUGGAGGCACGUGAACUCGGAAGACAUUCUGUGCUUGGUGUCAUCGUUACUGUGAGUAAGAUAGAGUGUUCAUGGCAGGCAGCCGCUAUGAAUGUUUCAGCAUGGGAUAAUAAACUAGGCCGCUGUUUCCUGGAACGGUAACAGGUCUGCAGCGGCCAAGAUCAAGAGGGACAGUCGGGGGCAUCCGUAUUUCAUUGUCAGAGGUGAAAUUCUAAGAUUGCUGAGGGACGACCGACAGCGAAAGCACUUGCCAAGGAUGUUUUCAUUGACCAAGGACGACAGUUGGGGGCCCGAAGACGAUUAGAUACCGUCCUAGUCCCAACCAUAAACAAUGCCGACUAGGGAUCGGCAUCUGUUGGUCCGACAACGGUGCCGGCACCUUACGAGAAAUCAAAGUUUUCGGGUUCCGGGGGGAGUAUGGUCGCAAGGCUGAAACUUAAAGA